AAUACAGGAAAAGUAAAUACACAGCUGGACCAAGGUCUGAAAACAAGGCCUAUGUAUCCAUAUGCUUGUGCUGAUUUCUGCUAAGAUAAUGAUGUGCUGGAAGGAGCUCAUGGAAGCUCCUGGUUAAUAUUCAAUUUCCCCACCAGAAGGAGCUGUGCAGCUUUACACAAGGCCAUCAACAGGAAAGACAUUUUAAACUCCAGUUCUCUCUACAGAGAUGAGCACAGCAAGUGUGGAGGAGCUGGCAGAGGGAGAUCAGAGAGGAGAUAGCUGGCAGCAUAUGACAACAUCAGCUGACCUCAGCUUAUCAAUCCAGCCUGUUCCUGCUGUUAAGAAAGGACACCCCUGCUCAUGAGUUAAAUGUCCACAAGUGAUGAAGAACGCUAAAGAGAUUAACUUGGUUCAUCUCCAUUUUGUCCACAUUUCGUAUGAAAUUUGAUGUCCUUGCAGAUGACGAAUUACAUAAAAGUCCUUGAAUUAUUGCCAAGCAAUGUCUUGAAGGGUGGCCUGUGUGUUGUGUAGCAAGCCAGAUGAGCAGGACAAAGGCUGAAGCAGAGAAGCAAGAUAAAAAUAAGGGAGGGCAGUACAAUAGUAGAGUGAUAAUUAAAUAAAGCAGCAGUACAAGACGCUGAGGACUCAAUUCUGUCUUUAAUUAACAUGCGUGUGCAUCCUACUGACUUUAACAGAAGUUACACUAGUGCAAUUGAGCACAGAAUUGGUCCACUGAGUGCAAACAAUGGUGUAGUAAGAUGUCAUUCUUCAACUGGCCAGACAGCAUCUGAGAACUCGAUGAAGUAAUCACCAAUGGCUUUAAUUUAAUGAACUUCGUUGUGAGAUACUUUGAUCACCAUCUUUGUCCAUCACUCCACUAAAUGGCAAUAGCAUUGCUUUAAAAACAACCACGACCAACAACAACCAGAAAAGAUUUUUUAAAAGAUGGGCCACAGCACAAGGCUCAGUUUACACAGGGACCUCUCCCUCCUCCCAAUGAAGAAAAACGAUGGCUUUUAAGAAGCAGUUUCCUAGUGUGAAAAUUAAAGACAAGGGUUCCUCCCUCCUACUUCUGGGGUUCAGUUACAAUUCACCUACAAUUCCAGUAUAUUUUGGGGGAGACACAUUUUAUUCACAUUUUCUAAUAUGUGGAAGAGAAAUAUUUCCUUUUUUUUUCAGCUCUUACAUAAACUAUUUAUUUAUUUUUCCCUGCUGACAGAAUUUUUUUCCCUUCAACGGGGAUAUUAAAUGUAAUGGGCCAAAUUCUUCUCAGUUACACCACUCUAAUAAUAAAUAACAAAUGUGUAAAGCACCCCACCCCGCACAAAAGUGAUCGGAGUGGUGAACAAUCAUAAAAACAAUUUCUCAUUAACUAAUAAAAAGAACUACCCCAACCUCAACAAAAAUUCCAAACAAGGGAGAGUAAACAAAAAUCAAUAAGAACUAUAAAAUAGCAACAGUGGUUGUAAUUGAAAAACAAUGCUGAAAAUAAUAAGCAUUUAGGUAUUUGUAAAUGUGGGGCGAGAUAAAGAAAGCCAGAUUUCAGCAGGGAGCAAGUUCCACACUAUCAGGGCUACCACAGCAAAAGCUCAAUUGUUUACUGACUUCAGGCACGAUGGUGCCCCAGGCACCGAGAUGUGAGUGCAAAACUGCAUCAGGUGGAGGCUCCAGGAGAAGAUCUCAAAUCUAGCCAGGGCCAUUCUUCCAAACUAGUUUUCUGUUCUUACCAUCAAAUAAAAUCUGUUUAUAGCUACUUUUGGAUUUGAAUCAAUCUAAUAAUCACACUGGUUUCUCCAUUUACAGAAAAUGAGCACGUUUGAUGGAUUACCUGACUCUGUGGCCUUCAUAAAACACCAUUUUCUAUUAAAUAUAGAAAAACCAGGAUUUAUUACUAAAAUUAUUAGUUAAGAUGCAAAAGCAGAUUGUGACUAUGAUUGCUACUUCCUUGUAAUCCUAAAAAACAAGGAAUAUCUAUCCUACUGAUAGAAAGAACUUGCAAUAGAUGUAUUCAUAAUGGACUAAAUUCAUCCCCAGCGUAACUCCAUUAGUCAAUAGAUUUACAUCAGGGAUUAAUUUGGCUCAUAAUGUUUACGUAUUACCUGGAUAUAAAUUAAUGUAAUCUGACAAACAUAUUGGUGAUUAGCUCAAAGCCUACAGUGAAAGUCCACCAUAGCCACUA
This is a long non-coding RNA of Chrysemys picta bellii (western painted turtle), 2170 nucleotides long. RefSeq lists it as uncharacterized. Lineage: Eukaryota; Metazoa; Chordata; Testudines; Emydidae. The record is from RefSeq and is a predicted model, not a curated record.